UACAACUUUCAGCAACGGAUCUCUUGGCUCUCGCAUCGAUGAAGAACGCAGCGAAAUGCGAUAAGUAAUGUGAAUUGCAGAAUUCAGUGAAUCAUCGAAUCUUUGAACGCACCUUGCGCUCCUUGGUAUUCCGAGGAGCAUGCCUGUUUGAGUGUCAUUAAAUCAUCAA
RNAcentral lists this ribosomal RNA (169 nucleotides) under Conocybula coprophila. Its description in RNAcentral is "Conocybe coprophila 5.8S ribosomal RNA". It matches the Rfam family "5.8S ribosomal RNA". Rfam says of the family: 5.8S ribosomal RNA (5.8S rRNA) is a component of the large subunit of the eukaryotic ribosome. The record is from RNAcentral. RNAcentral also lists the same sequence under 7 other names. Lineage: Eukaryota; Fungi; Basidiomycota; Agaricomycetes; Agaricales; Bolbitiaceae.